UCCAAUUAUUGGUAAAGAAUGUAACACGGUUGAAGAGGAAGGCCUUCUCCAAAUUGAGACAAACCAUCUUUGGUCGAGGGUGCACGAGUAGCUGCGCUCCCCUGCUAGAACCUCCAAACAAGCUCUCAAGAAUGUACCAAGGUGACUUCUUCAAGAGAGGGGUCAUC
Molecule: small RNA, 167 nt
Filed under: Sorex araneus (European shrew)
Lineage: Eukaryota; Metazoa; Chordata; Mammalia; Eulipotyphla; Soricidae
Description: 7SK RNA (ENSSARG00000019839.1)
Rfam family: 7SK RNA
About the family: 7SK was discovered as an abundant small nuclear RNA in the mid-70s but a possible function has only recently been suggested. Two independent studies have found that 7SK RNA binds the CDK9/cyclin T complex (known as elongation factor P-TEFb). P-TEFb activates transcription by phosphorylating the C-terminal domain of RNA polymerase II.
Source: RNAcentral